AUUUAAUCAAAGUUUACAUGUUUUUAAAAACUCAAAAUAUGAUUAUAUAAAUGAAAAAAUCUCUUUUAUUCAUUUUUGUCCUCAAAUUCAAAGUAUGAAAUUAGAAAAACCAAAGUUUACAUGUUUUUAUUCAUGAAGUGUAAAAAUCAAAGAUCCAGCUUAUGAUAAGCUUCCUUAAGCAUCUGCAGCUUAAUCCUUGGGUCUAGUACUGCUGCCAUAGCUAAAAUAAGACUGUACUCGUCCCAGUAUUUAGCAAACUUACUUUGCAUAUCCACAGCCAUUAAUCUUAUCUCAUUAUCCUUACACCUUGCAUACCU
This is a long non-coding RNA of Brassica napus (rape), 317 nucleotides long. RefSeq lists it as uncharacterized. NCBI's taxonomy places the organism in Eukaryota, Viridiplantae, Streptophyta, Magnoliopsida, Brassicales, Brassicaceae. The transcript has 2 exons. The record is from RefSeq and is a predicted model, not a curated record.